RNAcentral lists this ribosomal RNA (745 nucleotides) under Lactococcus lactis. RNAcentral describes it as "bacterial SSU rRNA". It matches the Rfam family "Bacterial small subunit ribosomal RNA", at positions 129 to 861 of the family's 1533-position model. The record is from RNAcentral. Lineage: Bacteria; Bacillati; Bacillota; Bacilli; Lactobacillales; Streptococcaceae.
UUUUUGAGCGGGGGACAACAUUUGGAAACGAAUGCUAAUACCGCAUAACAACUUUAAACACAAGUUUUAAGUUUGAAAGAUGCAAUUGCAUCACUCAAAGAUGAUCCCGCGUUGUAUUAGCUAGUUGGUGAGGUAAAGGCUCACCAAGGCGAUGAUACAUAGCCGACCUGAGAGGGUGAUUGGCCACAUUGGGACUGAGACACGGCCCAAACUCCUACGGGAGGCAGCAGUAGGGAAUCUUCGGCAAUGGACGAAAGUCUGACCGAGCAACGCCGCGUGAGUGAAGAAGGUUUUCGGAUCGUAAAACUCUGUUGGUAGAGAAGAACGUUGGUGAGAGUGGAAAGCUCAUCAAGUGACGGUAACUACCCAGAAAGGGACGGCUAACUACGUGCCAGCAGCCGCGGUAAUACGUAGGUCCCGAGCGUUGUCCGGAUUUAUUGGGCGUAAAGCGAGCGCAGGUGGUUUAUUAAGUCUGGUGUAAAGGGCAGUGGCUCAACCAUUGUAUGCAUUGGAAACUGGUAGACUUGAGUGCAGGAGAGGAGAGUGGAAUUCCAUGUGUAGCGGUGAAAUGCGUAGAUAUAUGGAGGAACACCGGUGGCGAAAGCGGCUCUCUGGCCUGUAACUGACACUGAGGCUUCGAAAGCGUGGGGAGCAAACAGGAUUAGAUACCCUGGUAGUCCACGCCGUAAACGAUGAGUGCUAGAUGUAGGGAGCUAUAAGUUCUCUGUAUCGCAGCUAACGCAAU